Molecule: ribosomal RNA, 253 nt
Filed under: uncultured bacterium
Lineage: Bacteria
Description: partial 16S ribosomal RNA
Rfam family: Bacterial small subunit ribosomal RNA
Source: RNAcentral
UACAGGGGGGGCAAGCGUUGUUCGGAAUUACUGGGCGUAAAGGGCUCGUAGGUGGCCAACUAAGUCAGACGUGAAAUCCCUCAGCUUAACUGGGGAACUGCGUCUGAUACUGGACGGCUUGAGUUUGUGAGAGGGAUGCGGAAUUCCAGGUGUAGCGGUGAAAUGCGUAGAUAUCUGGAGGAACACCGGUGGCGAAGGCGGCAUCCUGGACCAACACUGACACUGAGGAGCGAAAGCCAGGGGAGCAAACGGG